AGACAGCAGUAGCCGCGGUAAUACAGAGGGUGCGAGCGUUAAUCGGAUUUACUGGGCGUAAAGCGUGCGUAGGCGGCUUCUUAAGUCGGAUGUGAAAUCCCUGAGCUUAACUUAGGAAUUGCAUUCGAUACUGGGAAGCUAGAGUAUGGGAGAGGAUGGUAGAAUUCCAGGUGUAGCGGUGAAAUGCGUAGAGAUCUGGAGGAAUACCGAUGGCGAAGGCAGCCAUCUGGCCUAAUACUGACGCUGAGGUACGAAAGCAUGGGGAGCAAACAGGAUUAGAUACCCCUGUAGUCCCUGUCUCUUAUAA
RNAcentral lists this ribosomal RNA (307 nucleotides) under uncultured bacterium. RNAcentral's name for it is "partial 16S ribosomal RNA". It matches the Rfam family "Bacterial small subunit ribosomal RNA", at positions 506 to 809 of the family's 1533-position model. The record is from RNAcentral.